CCUACGGGUGGCAGCAGUGAGGAAUAUUGGUCAAUGGACGAGAGCCUGAACCAGCCACGCCGCGUGAAGGAAGACUGCCCUAUGGGUGUUAAACUUCUUUUAUAUGGAAGUAAAACAGGGAGUGCAUCUCGUCUCGUAUGUACCAUAUGAAUAAGGAUCGGCUAAAUACGUGCCAGCAGCGGCGGUAAUAUGGAGGAUACGAGCGUUAGCUGGAUUUAUUGGGUUUAAAGGGAGCGUAGGUGGAUUGUUAAGUCAGUUGUGAAAGUGUGCGGCUUAACCGUAAAAUUGCAGUUGAAACUGGCAGUCUUGAGUACAGUAGAGGUGGGCGGAAUUCGUGGUGUAGCGGUGAAAUGCGUAGAUAUCACGAAGAACUCCGGUGGCGAAGGCAGCUCACUGGACUGCAACUGACACUGAGGCUCGAAAGUGUGGGUAUCAAACAGGAUUAGAUACCCCAGUAGUC
RNAcentral lists this ribosomal RNA (460 nucleotides) under uncultured bacterium. RNAcentral describes it as "partial 16S ribosomal RNA". It matches the Rfam family "Bacterial small subunit ribosomal RNA", at positions 338 to 795 of the family's 1533-position model. The record is from RNAcentral.